Molecule: transfer RNA, 66 nt
Filed under: Climacostomum virens
Lineage: Eukaryota; Ciliophora; Heterotrichea; Heterotrichida; Climacostomidae
Source: RNAcentral
GCCAGAAGGAACUCAAAGAGUCGAUGGCGAAGUUUGAUCUAGACCACUCUGGGCGCAUAGAGUUCA